CCUACGGGAUGCUGCAGUGAGGAAUAUUGGUCAAUGGACGCGAGUCUGAACCAGCCAAGUAGCGUGAAGGAUGACUGCCCUACGGGUUGUAAACUUCUUUUAUAUAGGAAUAAAAUGUUCCACGUGUGCCUUUUUGUAUGUACUUUAUGAAUAAGGAUCGGCUAACUCCGUGCCAGCAGCCGCGGUAAUACGGAGGAUCCGAGCGUUAUCCGGAUUUAUUGGGUUUAAAGGGAGCGUAGGUGGAUUGUUAAGUCAGUUGUGAAAGUUUGCGGCUCAACCGUAAAAUUGCAGUUGAUACUGGCAGUCUUGAGUACAGUAGAGGUGGGCGGAAUUCGUGGUGUAGCGGUGAAAUGCUUAGAUAUCACGAAGAACUCCGAUUGCGAAGGCAGCUCACUGGACUGCCACUGACACUGAGGCUCGAAAGUGUGGGUAUCAAACAGGAUUAGAUACCCUUGUAGUC
RNAcentral lists this ribosomal RNA (460 nucleotides) under uncultured bacterium. RNAcentral's name for it is "partial 16S ribosomal RNA". It matches the Rfam family "Bacterial small subunit ribosomal RNA", at positions 338 to 795 of the family's 1533-position model. The record is from RNAcentral.